This 261-nucleotide long non-coding RNA is filed under the name Panax ginseng (ginseng). RNAcentral's name for it is "long non-coding RNA (PGIN_LNC004893)". The record is from RNAcentral. Lineage: Eukaryota; Viridiplantae; Streptophyta; Magnoliopsida; Apiales; Araliaceae.
UGCGGCGGCAACGGUAGUGGCUGAAGCAAAUCGAAUAAUCUCGAGUGCCCUGCAGCAUGUCAACUCGUCUUCUUUCGUCCCUCUUCAAUCGAACUCCAGAAGUUGGAAGGCCGGGUUUCCUCACCUUCCGGUGUGGCGACGAAGAAGAUCUGAAUCUGCUGAAUGGGGAUUUAGGGAUUUAGAAGAAAGAAUAGCGAACAGAAUACAGUGGUAGCCGAUUUUGGUCCGUGUCUUUUUUUUUUCCUCCGUGUUUCAUUCUCG